RNAcentral lists this long non-coding RNA (995 nucleotides) under Monodelphis domestica (gray short-tailed opossum). RNAcentral's name for it is "lncRNA (ENSMODG00000049016.1)". Lineage: Eukaryota; Metazoa; Chordata; Mammalia; Didelphimorphia; Didelphidae. The record is from RNAcentral.
CUCAAAAUGGCUACUUUCCACAGUCACACAGGCUUUUGAAAUGUAUAUAGACCCAAUUUCUCUGAAACUUUUCUGACACCUCCACUGUCUUCUUUUCCCCCAAAUUUUGGCAAAAUAGGCUGGAAAUCCAAGUUGGCUCUACCAAAAAUGUAAUAUUUGUGGGAUUGAAGAAGUACAGGGGAUAAGGAAGGUUUUGUAACAUGGAAUGGGGGGAUUUGAAGGGAGAGAGGGAAUAUGGCUGCUGGUGAGGUUAAAGAAGAGAGAUACCCCCUGCUGAGAGGCUAUCUUUGAAAAUUGGUUCUUGAGAAAUGGGUCACCUAUGAUAGCCUGAGGAAAUUUCUUCUCUAUUGAUGGAUGUUGAAGAUACCGCAGAGCAGGGGAUACUAGGAGGGGAAGUGGAAGGUCCCACCUAUUUACUUCCAGUCUUGAGCUUGGUGGUUGUAAGCACUGCUGUUCUUCUACAAAGUGAUCCUAUAGAGAUGUCCUCAAUUCUCUCCAAAAUCAAAGAAUGGCAAAUAAUAUUAAUAAAAAUAAUAUCAACAAAAGUUCAAGGACAUCUCUGCUUUGACAUCUUCUGGAAAUACCAAGUCUUCCUGGCUUGGAAAUCAGUACUAUAUUGGUGCCAUAAAAAGAAUUUGUCCCAUUGUCCUUUGAUUCUCAAGACCAGGCUUGAAGAAAAUAUGAUCCCCAAAUACAGAACUCAAGAGAAUCACCAAAAGGUAAUUAAGAAAGGGGAAAAGAGGAAAAGCAACUGCUUGACUACAGGGGUUAAGGGGACAUGUCUGAGGAGAGACUCUAAAUGAACACUAAUGCAAAUACCAACAACGUGGAAAUGGGUUUGAAUCAAGAACACAUGUGAAACCCAGUGGAAUUGCGAGUCGGCUAUGGGAGAGGUGAGGGGGGGAGGGAGGAAAAGAAAAGGAUCUUUGUCUCCAAUGAAUAAUGUUUUGAAAUGACCAAAUAAAAUAUUGUUUAAAAAAAAGAAAGGGGGAAAA